GACGAACGCUGGCGGCAUGCCUUACACAUGCAAGUCGAACGGCAGCACGGGUGCUUGCACCUGGUGGCGAGUGGCGUACGGGUGAGUAAUAUAUCGGAACGUACCUUAUUGUGGGGGAUAACGCAGCGAAAGCUGUGCUAAUACCGCAUAAUCCCUAAGGGGGAAAGCGGGGGACCGUAAGGCCUCGCGCAAUUAGAGCGGCCGAUACCUGAUUAGCUAGUUGGUGAGGUAAAGGCUCACCAAGGCAACGAUCAGUAGCUGGUCUGAGAGGACGAGCAGCCACACUGGGACUGAGACACGGCCCAGACUCCUACGGGAGGCAGCAGUGGGGAAUUUUGGACAAUGGGGGCAACCCUGAUCCGGCAAUGCCGCGUGAGUGAAGAAGGCCUUCGGGUUGUAAAGCUCUUUUGUCAGGGAAGAAACAGCAGCUCUAACACAGUUUGCGAAUGACGGUACCUGAAGAAUAAGCACCGGCUAACUACGUGCCAGCAGCCGCGGUAA
Molecule: ribosomal RNA, 501 nt
Filed under: uncultured bacterium
Lineage: Bacteria
Description: partial 16S ribosomal RNA
Rfam family: Bacterial small subunit ribosomal RNA
Source: RNAcentral